GAUGAACGCUGGCGGCGUGCUUAACACAUGCAAGUCGAACGGGGCUCUUCGGAGUCAAGUGGCGGACGGGUGAGUAACGCGUGAGAAUCUGCCCACAGGCGGGGGACAACCAUUGGAAACGAUGGCUAAUACCGCAUAUGCCGAGAGGUGAAAGGUUAACUACCUGUGGAUGAGCUCGCGUCUGAUUAGCUAGUUGGUGGGUUGAUAGCUUACCAAGGCGACGAUCAGUAGCUGUUCUGAGAGGAUGAUCAGCCACACUGGGACUGAGACACGGCCCAGACUCCUACGGGAGGCAGCAGUGGGGAAUUUUCCGCAAUGGGCGAAAGCCUGACGGAGCAACGCCGCGUGAGGGAGGAAAGUCUUUGGAUUGUAAACCUCUUUUCUCUAGGAAGAUAAUGACGGUACUAGAGGAAUCAGCAUCGGCUAACUCCG
This 432-nucleotide ribosomal RNA is filed under the name uncultured cyanobacterium. RNAcentral's name for it is "bacterial SSU rRNA". It matches the Rfam family "Bacterial small subunit ribosomal RNA", at positions 28 to 505 of the family's 1533-position model. Lineage: Bacteria; Bacillati; Cyanobacteriota. The record is from RNAcentral.